Molecule: unclassified non-coding RNA, 263 nt
Filed under: plant metagenome
Description: partial contains small subunit ribosomal RNA, internal transcribed spacer 1, and 5.8S ribosomal RNA
Source: RNAcentral
UUUCCGUAGGUGGACUUGCGGAAGGAUCAUUAUUGUAUAACCGAGGUGCGAGGGCUGUCGCUGACCCGAAAGGUCGUGCACGCCCGAGUGCCCUCACACACAUCCAUCUCACCCCUAUGUGCACCACCGCGUGGGUCCCCCUUUGGCUUGUUCGGAGGGGGGCUUACGUUUUCACACAAACUUUGUAUGCAGUGUAGAAUGUAUUUUUUGUUUUUGCGAUCACGCAAUCAAUACAACUUUCAACAACGGAUCUCUUGGCUCCC